Molecule: ribosomal RNA, 634 nt
Filed under: uncultured bacterium
Lineage: Bacteria
Description: bacterial SSU rRNA
Rfam family: Bacterial small subunit ribosomal RNA
Source: RNAcentral
AUAUCUGAUUAGCUAGUUGGUAGGGUAAAAGCCUACCAAGGCAUCGAUCAGUAGCUGGUCUGAGAGGACGACCAGCCACACUGGAACUGAGACACGGUCCAGACUCCUACGGGAGGCAGCAGUGGGGAAUUUUGGACAAUGGGCGAAAGCCUGAUCCAGCAAUGCCGCGUGAGUGAAGAAGGCCUUCGGGUUGUAAAGCUCUUUUGUCAGGGAAGAAACGGUAAGGGCUAAUAUCCCUUGCUAAUGACGGUACCUGAAGAAUAAGCACCGGCUAACUACGUGCCAGCAGCCGCGGUAAUACGUAGGGUGCAAGCGUUAAUCGGAAUUACUGGGCGUAAAGCGUGCGCAGGCGGUUUUGUAAGUCUGAUGUGAAAUCCCCGGGCUCAACCUGGGAAUUGCAUUGGAGACUGCAAGGCUAGAAUCUGGCAGAGGGGGGUAGAAUUCCACGUGUAGCAGUGAAAUGCGUAGAUAUGUGGAGGAACACCGAUGGCGAAGGCAGCCCCCUGGGUCAAGAUUGACGCUCAUGCACGAAAGCGUGGGGAGCAAACAGGAUUAGAUACCCUGGUAGUCCACGCCCUANACGAUGUCUACUAGUUGUCGGGUCUUAAUUGACUUGGUAACGCAGCUAACGCGU